CACAUGGAGGCUAUAAAAUGGGUAAAGUGUGGCAGGUGGCAGCAGGUAGCAGAGGCCCAAGAAGCCUUUUUGAAGGAGAUGACAUGGGAGCUGGGACUGGCAGGAAGAGGAAGCCAUUAUUUAAAGAACAAAGCAAAAGCGGCCGGGUGAAGGUGCAUGUGGGAGGCUGGCAGCAGGGUUUCCUGCAGGCGAAAAGGAAACUUCCCUAAGACAGAAGAGGGAAUCCACCAUUUGGCCCCGGAUGGAUGGUCUCAGCCACAGGACAGGAACAAGGACAGGAAUCUGCUCACAGGUCCCCGCCCAGCUGCUCUCUGACCGGCCACAGUAUUCAGGCCAAGACACUCAGCUGUGACUGCGAAUGCUACUUGUCUGACCUAAGGAUCUAAGGACUGUAGCUGCCUUGUUUGCAUUUCUUACUCCAACGAUAACUCAAAGAAAAGAAAAUGAAUCACCGUGGAAAAUGAGGGGAGGGUGCAAAAGUAGUGCCGCAGAGCCUCAGAAUCCUCCCACCUGCCCUCCACCUGCAUCUCCACCAGCCCAUUCUCACCCUUCCCCACAUCGCAGGAGAGGAACCGCCCAGUUUCCGGGAAGACAGGGUCACUUGGUUUAGCUGGAGUGGUCCCACUCUUCCUAAGUACCUGGUCUUCACAGUAGCUGCUGUGGCAGGGAAGGACGCAAUCCCAGGACUAGACUCUUAUCUUCUCCUUUUGCCCAGGCCCCACCAGCUUCCACACUGAACAACACGGGGCCUGUGGAUCCAUCCUCAUCCCCUCCCUAAGCUACUGACCCACUCCCCUCCCCCUCCUGGCAUUGAUGGGCUGUCCUCAGGGAAGCCAGUGACCCUAGUCCAGGGCCUCAGACCAGGGUCAAGGGGCAGAAUGUCUACACCAGGCCAGGGAUCCCUGCAGACUGGUCUUCGGGAAGUGCACCCCCAGAUGCAAUCAGUUCACAGAGGAAAACCACAUUUUGUUUAGUCUUUUCCUAGUCUAGAAGGCCUAGUAUUUAAUAAACCCUGGAGCCAGCCCUGAGGGGGACUGGCUUUUAUGGGCUCCAGGCAGCUCUCUCAGCCUCUUCCCAGGUGGGGGGGCUUGGCCUGUUGGCAGCUGACUUGAGUUUUCUUCCCAGCCCCACCUCGCCCAAUGCCCCCACCUUUUCCAUGAGAUGAAGAGAAACUUGGCCUCCAAGGGUCACUCUUCUCCCCAGGAAUGUGUGGCCCAGCUUCUCCAGUUUAAAAGACUUUCCUCUGCUCCAGGGCUGACCCCAAACAGAUGGGAACCUCUAGAGCUUGGUUGGCCAAUGCCAUGUUCAGCCCAGUCACAGCUGAGAUCUUGUCACCUAGGUGAGUGCUUUACUGCUGGAGAAGUAGCAAUCAAGAGAACAGUUCUUUUUAACAUGGACAUGAGAGAUUUUAGGGACCAGUCCCCAGUGCUCAAAUCAUAGCAGGUCCCACCCAAGAACUUGGCUCAUCCACAAACCAAGCUCCUGCCAAGCCCUGGCUUAUGGAGAUGGACCAGACAUUCCUGGGGCAUCAUGGCAGGCGGCCACUGAUGCUGUCUCAAAUCCUGGGGUUCCAUAUUACGGAGAGAAUCAGCUGCAAAAGGCAACAAUUGUCUUUGAGUCACCCCUGCCCUUCCAAAAAUCAGGCUUUCAAGAGUUGAAGGCGUGAAGCGUAAUGCAGGGAAUUUCUGACAGUGCAGAGGGUAUCUGACAGGCUGGGAUGUUCCAGCGAUGACUGAACACGCAGAUUGAAUGGAACACUGAUUACAUUCUUGGUUAGCCGCCUAUAUAGCCCAUACUGGGUCCUCAUUACAUGUGCCCUAACAACAAACAUUAUGUUUCAUUAAAAUAUUACACACUUAGGAAAAUACUUCUAAAAAUGCAAAGAGGAGAAUAAAAACUACCGCAAGUGCUAUACUGAGACCCAGCGCUGUGGCAAGUUCCCCUGACCUGUCUGCAGGGAUCAUUACAAGCCGAUACUGGCUGCCCAGCGGGACCUGAUGAGACAUCAGAGAGCUCACGUGACCUCCAUUAUCACUGUCACCGCCGUGCGUGCUGUUCACACAAACAUCGGAGAUCUGAGAAAACUGGAGCUCUGAGAGAUGGACUACCUUGCUCCAAGACACACAGCCCUUCUCCCACUGCCAGGCAGGACUGAGUUACUGCUUUCCUGAGAGGAGGGAACUACAUCACUCCCCAAAAGGAAACUGGAGACCACGCUAGGCGAGCACAGCUUUCCUGAAUGCCAGCAUACCAGGGCUGGAGGUGCAGGUUUGGUGCUGCCUCCGUCACCCUAAGCCCUCAACAUCUCCAUCCCCUGGUCUCUUGGUAAACAGCUAAGCCAAGAUGGCCAGAGCUGGGAGGAUGAUUGGGCUGAGUCAUGUCACUGUAGCCCACAGACAAGUCUGCAACCCAUUAAAGACUUCUCUUCUCCAUUAAUUUCAGAGACAAAGAGACGUUUGAAGUUUAAUGUCAUUCUCUUGCUCAGCCUUCCUCAAUGAGGCCCCCAGAAGGGUGAGUGAGGGGCUCUCGGAAGGAGUGGGGCUACUGCAGGGCUGGCUCCAGCCGCAGUGUGGGAGUACCCAGGUCUUUGCUUGGAACAAACACCUAUUUGACAGACAGCAGUUGGGUCCUGGGUAGAACCAUUGAGACCAGCUACCAUUCCUGGUUCUGAAAUUUAAUAAUGAAAUAAAUGUAAUCACACAUAUUUAAUUAAGCCAUUUCUUAAUAAUCAUUAUCAUAGCAUGGCACACUCCCCACACGCCUGGCAUAGCAAGGCACUAUCAUACGCAUAGAAGCAUAGACCUUUGCUGAGAGCGUCACUCCGUACCAACCCCAGACUCAGUAGCGGUGAGAACUUGCCCAAGUCAAAAGCUUCCCUGCGGCUCAUUUCCUCCUCUGUAGAACGGGGGACUGAAAACAAGGAACAGGCAUCGGGACAGCGGAUCAUGAAACUGGUGCCCCAUGCAGUGGGUACUCUAAAAUACGAAGGAGCAGGUUUCGGGUGCAGCAGCAGCAAGGAUAGAGCUGAAACACAGAUGCCUAAGGGAAGG
RNAcentral lists this long non-coding RNA (3050 nucleotides) under Homo sapiens (human). RNAcentral describes it as "HSALNT0269461". The record is from RNAcentral. Lineage: Eukaryota; Metazoa; Chordata; Mammalia; Primates; Hominidae.